CAGGGAAGGACUGAAAGGUCUGCCCAGCCCUGGCCUUCCAGUCAGCAGGGAAGGAGGAGGGAUGCAUGGAAGUGAUGUUGAUGUUCAUCAUGCCUUACAUGGAUUUACAAACUCAAAGCUCUGAGCCAAGGUUUCAUCAGGGAUUUUUGCUACAGACAGUUUAACUAUAGCUGUAAUCAAUAACAACUGCUGAGUAGUGAGCAGACAAGAUAUGCUGCAAAGAAAGUGGGCAAAUUUCAUCGGAACAGAGGUUGGACAGUAAA
Molecule: long non-coding RNA, 263 nt
Filed under: Serinus canaria (Common canary)
Lineage: Eukaryota; Metazoa; Chordata; Aves; Passeriformes; Fringillidae
Description: lncRNA (ENSSCAG00000007563.1)
Source: RNAcentral